Molecule: ribosomal RNA, 253 nt
Filed under: uncultured bacterium
Lineage: Bacteria
Description: partial 16S ribosomal RNA
Rfam family: Bacterial small subunit ribosomal RNA
Source: RNAcentral
UACAGAGGUCUCAAGCGUUGUUCGGAUUCAUUGGGCGUAAAGGGUGCGUAGGCGGCGCGGUAAGUCGGGUGUGAAAUCUUGGAGCUUAACUCCGAAACUGCAUUCGAUACUGCCGUGCUUGAGGACUGGAGAGGAGACUGGAAUUUACGGUGUAGCGGUGUAAUGCGUAGAUAUCGUAAGGAAGACCAGUGGCGAAGGCGGGUCUCUGGACAGUUCCUGACGCUGAGGCACGAAGGUCAGGGGAGCAAACGGG